Heterocephalus glaber (naked mole-rat) is the source of this 184-nucleotide small nuclear RNA. Its record names the gene U2. It matches the Rfam family "U2 spliceosomal RNA". Rfam says of the family: U2 is a small nuclear RNA (snRNA) component of the spliceosome (involved in pre-mRNA splicing). Complementary binding between U2 snRNA (in an area lying towards the 5' end but 3' to hairpin I) and the branchpoint sequence (BPS) of the intron results the bulging out of an unpaired adenosine, on the BPS, which initiates a nucleophilic attack at the intronic 5' splice site, thus starting the first of two transesterification reactions that mediate splicing. The record is from Ensembl. Lineage: Eukaryota; Metazoa; Chordata; Mammalia; Rodentia; Bathyergidae.
AUCACUUCUUGGCCUUUUGGCUAAGAUCAAGUGUAGUACUGGGGACUGAACUCAAAAGCCUUCUCACUGAGCUACAUCCCCAGCUCUUUUUUAUUUUGAGAUAGAAUCUGGCUAAGUUGCCCAGGCUCGGAUCAAACUCAGGAUUCUCCUGCCUCUGCCUCCCUGGGUGCUAGGAUUACAGUCA